Molecule: ribosomal RNA, 425 nt
Filed under: uncultured bacterium
Lineage: Bacteria
Description: partial 16S ribosomal RNA
Rfam family: Bacterial small subunit ribosomal RNA
Source: RNAcentral
GUUAGGAAUAUUGGACAAUGGGCGAAAGCCUGAUCCAGCCAUGCCGCGUGAACGAUGAAGGCCUUCGGGUUGUAAAGUUCUUUAGCCGAUGAUUAUAAUGACUGUAGUCGGAAAAUAAGCCCCGGCUAACUUCGUGCCAGCAGCCGCGGUAAUACGAAGGGGGCGAGCGUUAUUCGGAAUCACUGGGCGUAAAGCGUGCGUAGGCGGUUUUGUAAGUUAGGAGUGAAAGCCCAGGGCUCAACCUUGGAAUUGCUCUUAAAACUGCAAGGCUCGAAUCUCGGAGAGGAUAGCGGAAUUUCCAGUGUAACAGUGAAAUGCGUAGAUAUUGGAAGGAACACCAGUGGCGUAAGCGGCUAUCUGGACGAGUAUUGACGCUGAGGCACGAAAGCGUGGGGAUCAAACAGGAUUAGAUACCCCAGUAGUCC